CCCGGUGACCAUAGCUGGCUGGAUACACCCGUUCCCUUCUCGAACACGGAAGUUAAGCAGCUAGCGCCGAUGAUAUUGGGUCACUCCGAGAAAGUAGGUUGUUGCCGGGC
This 110-nucleotide ribosomal RNA is filed under the name Planctomycetota bacterium. The record is from RNAcentral. Lineage: Bacteria; Pseudomonadati; Planctomycetota.